GACAGAGGGUGCAAACGUUGUUCGGAAUUACUGGGCGUAAAGCGCGUGUAGGCUGCUUCGAAAGUCGGAUGUGAAAGCCCUGGGCUCAACCUAGGAAGUGCAUUCGAAACUUCGAGCUGGAGUCCUGGAGAGGAAGGCGGAAUUCUCGGUGUAGAGGUGAAAUUCGUAGAUAUCGAGAGGAACACCGGUGGCGAAGGCGGC
This 201-nucleotide ribosomal RNA is filed under the name uncultured bacterium. Its description in RNAcentral is "partial 16S ribosomal RNA". It matches the Rfam family "Bacterial small subunit ribosomal RNA", at positions 524 to 725 of the family's 1533-position model. The record is from RNAcentral.